Molecule: ribosomal RNA, 448 nt
Filed under: uncultured bacterium
Lineage: Bacteria
Description: SSU rRNA
Rfam family: Bacterial small subunit ribosomal RNA
Source: RNAcentral
AGAGCGAACGCUGGCGGCAGGCUUAACACAUGCAAGUCGAGCGGGCGUAGCAAUACGUCAGCGGCAGACGGGUGAGUAACGCGUGGGAACAUACCUUUUGGUUCGGAACAACACAGGGAAACUUGUGCUAAUACCGGAUAAGCCCUUACGGGGAAAGAUUUAUCGCCGAAAGAUUGGCCCGCGUCUGAUUAGCUAGUUGGUGAGGUAACGGCUCACCAAGGCGACGAUCAGUAGCUGGUCUGAGAGGAUGAUCAGCCACAUUGGGACUGAGACACGGCCCAAACUCCUACGGGAGGCAGCAGUGGGGAAUAUUGGACAAUGGGCGCAAGCCUGAUCCAGCCAUGCCGCGUGAGUGAUGAAGGCCCUAGGGUUGUAAAGCUCUUUUGUGCGAGAAGAUAAUGACGGUACCGCAAGAAUAACGCCCGGCUAACUUCGCGCCAGCAGCCGC